UUUAUAUACGUGUAUUUUUUUGGUUAUUUAUAUACAUGAUUUCAGAAAAUGGAAAGAAACAUAAUUGGUGUUUUAUAUAAAUUAGAAAACAUUUUCCAUUAUAUAUAAUGGAAAAACAAAAAACAAAAGGUAACUUAAUUGAUUAGGUCGGGUCAUUUCACAAAACGAACAAACUUUUUUUCUGCACAGAAAAGGGUGGAAAAAGAAAAGUGAAGGGAUCAACAACACUGAUUUAUCUUAUCUGGAACUCUGAAAGAGUCAGCUUUCUUCAUGGUUUCAAUAUCAAGUUGUCCUGUUGUCAAGAAUUGUUACAUAACUAAUCAAAGAUUAGAUGCAUGUGGAGUGAAGAUUCUAAGUUGAUUCCGUAGCCUCUUUGAUUAAUAUAUAUAUUAGUUUUAAAUUGUACCACCCACCUAUAGUUUUACACAUCAAUAUCAAAAAUUUGAUUUGACCCAUGUAUAUAAUAUCAUCAUUAUUUCGGAUGUAUUUCAUCUGCAUGGAAAUAAAGAGGUCUAUUAU
RNAcentral lists this long non-coding RNA (519 nucleotides) under Lupinus angustifolius (narrow-leaved blue lupine). Its description in RNAcentral is "long non-coding RNA (LANG_LNC003512)". The record is from RNAcentral. Lineage: Eukaryota; Viridiplantae; Streptophyta; Magnoliopsida; Fabales; Fabaceae.